CAAUAGCGUAUAUUAAAGUUGUUGCAGUUAAAAAGCUCGUAGUUGGACCUUGGACCUAGACAGGCGGUCCGCCUCACGGCGUGUACUGUCUUGCUGGGUCUUUCCUCUUGGUGAUCUGUUGUUUCGGCAGCAGGGAACCAGGACUUUUACUUUGAAAAAAUUAGAGUGUUCAAAGCAGGCUCGACGCCGGAAUAUAUUAGCAUGGAAUAAUAAAAUAGGACGUGCGGUUCUAUUUUGUUGGUUUUUGGAAUCGCCGUAAUGAUUAAUAGGGACAGUCGGGGGCAUUAGUACUCACAUGCUAGAGGUGAAAUUCUUGGAUUUUGUGAAGACUAACUUCUGCGAAAGCAUUUGCCAAGGAUGUUUUCAUUAA
RNAcentral lists this ribosomal RNA (370 nucleotides) under uncultured eukaryote. RNAcentral describes it as "partial 18S ribosomal RNA". It matches the Rfam family "Eukaryotic small subunit ribosomal RNA", at positions 592 to 976 of the family's 1831-position model. The record is from RNAcentral.